Molecule: non-coding RNA, 266 nt
Filed under: Actinidia chinensis (golden kiwifruit)
Lineage: Eukaryota; Viridiplantae; Streptophyta; Magnoliopsida; Ericales; Actinidiaceae
Source: RNAcentral
AUUGGGUGUUACAGGGCCUGGGAAGCACCGGCCCGUAAUCCUUCCACCGCAGAGAGCGGGAGGUAUUCGCUGCUCUGUGAAACCAGCCUCACGCAUUGCCCUCCGCUCUAGGAGCCACAAGGCCCAAGCUUUCGAAUGGGUCGCAUGGCCCAACUCUCCGCUUGGAACGGGCAGGCCAGCAGUCGCAACCACAGGCCCAACCUUCUGAGCUUGGCCCAUGUCCAAUCACUUUGGUGCCCCCGCUUGGGUCACAGGCUUGCGUUACC